GACGAACGCUGGCGGCGUGCUUAACACAUGCAAGUCGAACGGAAAGGCCCUGCUUUUGUGGGGUGCUCGAGUGGCGAACGGGUGAGUAACACGUGAGUAACCUGCCCUUGACUUUGGGAUAACUUCGGGAAACUGGGGCUAAUACCGGAUAGGAGCUCCUGCUGCAUGGUGGGGGUUGGAAAGUUUCGGCGGCUGGGGAUGGACUCGCGGCUUAUCAGCUUGUUGGUGGGGUAGUGGCUUACCAAGGCUUUGACGGGUAACCGGCCUGAGAGGGUGACCGGCCACAUUGGGACUGAGAUACGGCCCAGACUCCUACGGGAGGCAGCAGUGGGGAAUAUUGCACAAUGGGCGGAAGCCUGAUGCAGCAACGCCGCGUGCGGGAUGACGGCCUUCGGGUUGUAAACCGCUUUCGCCUGUGACGAAGCGUGAGUGACGGUAAUGGGUAAAGAAGCACCGGCUAACUACGUGCCAGCAGCCGCGGUGAUACGUAGGGUGCGAGCGUUGUCCGGAUUUAUUGGGCGUAAAGGGCUCGUAGGUGGUUGAUCGCGUCGGAAGUGUAAUCUUGGGGCUUAACCCUGAGCGUGCUUUCGAUACGGGUUGACUUGAGGAAGGUAGGGGAGAAUGGAAUUCCUGGUGGAGCGGUGGAAUGCGCAGAUAUCAGGAGGAACACCAGUGGCGAAGGCGGUUCUCUGGGCCUUUCCUGACGCUGAGGAGCGAAAGCGUGGGGAGCGAACAGGCUUAGAUACCCUGGUAGUCCACGCUGUAAACGGUGGGUACUAGGUGUGGGGUCCAUUCCACGGGUUCCGUGCCGUAGCUAACGCUUUAAGUACCCCGCCUGGGGAGUACGGCCGCAAGGCUAAAACUCAAAGGAAUUGACGGGGCCCCGCACAAGCGGCGGAGCAUGCGGAUUAAUUCGAUGCAACGCGUAGAACCUUACCUGGGUUUGACAUGGAUCGGGAGCGCUCAGAGAUGGGUGUGCCUCUUUUGGGGUCGGUUCACAGGUGGUGCAUGGCUGUCGUCAGCUCGUGUCGUGAGAUGUUGGGUUAAGUCCCGCAACGAGCGCAACCCUUGUUCACUGUUGCCAGCACGUUAUGGUGGGGACUCAGUGGAGACCGCCGGGGUCAACUCGGAGGAAGGUGGGGAUGACGUCAAGUCAUCAUGCCCCUUAUGUCCAGGGCUUCACGCAUGCUACAAUGGCUGGUACAGAGAGUGGCGAGCCUGUGAGGGUGAGCGAAUCUCGGAAAGCCGGUCUCAGUUCGGAUUGGGGUCUGCAACUCGACCUCAUGAAGUCGGAGUCGCUAGUAAUCGCAGAUCAGCAACGCUGCGGUGAAUACGUUCCCGGG
Molecule: ribosomal RNA, 1343 nt
Filed under: uncultured bacterium
Lineage: Bacteria
Description: 16S ribosomal RNA
Rfam family: Bacterial small subunit ribosomal RNA
Source: RNAcentral